CCUACGGGAGGCAGCAGUGGGGAAUAUUGGACAAUGGGCGAAAGCCUGAUCCAGCAAUGCCGCGUGAGUGAAGAAGGCCUUCGGGUUGUAAAGCUCUUUUACCCGGGAAGAUAAUGACUGUACCGGGAGAAUAAGCCCCGGCUAACUCCGUGCCAGCAGCCGCGGUAAUACGGAGGGGGCUAGCGUUGUUCGGAAUUACUGGGCGUAAAGCGUACGUAGGCGGCUUUGUAAGUCAGAGGUGAAAGCCCACGACUCAAUCGUGGAACUGCCUUUGAGACUGCUUCGCUUGAAGAUGGGAGAGGUUAGUGGAAUUCCGAGUGUAGAGGUGAAAUUCGUAGAUAUUCGGAAGAACACCAGUGGCGAAGGCGGCUAACUGGACCAUUCUUGACGCUGAGGUACGAAAGCGUGGGGAGCAAACAGGAUUAGAUACCCUGGUAGUCCACGCCGUAAACGAUGAUAACUAGCUGUCGGGGCUCUUGGAGCUUCGGUGGCGCAGCUAACGCAUUAAGUUAUCCGCCUGGGGAGUACGGCCGCAAGGUUAAAACUUAAAUGAAUUGACGG
This 561-nucleotide ribosomal RNA is filed under the name uncultured bacterium. RNAcentral's name for it is "bacterial SSU rRNA". It matches the Rfam family "Bacterial small subunit ribosomal RNA", at positions 338 to 916 of the family's 1533-position model. The record is from RNAcentral.